GCUCCGGUGGCUUAGUGGUUAGAGCGUCAACCUCAGAUGUGGGAGGUCGUGGGUUCGAUCCCAGGUCGAGUCA
Non-coding RNA from Potamilus streckersoni, 73 nucleotides. The record is from the annotation of a GenBank genome assembly. NCBI's taxonomy places the organism in Eukaryota, Metazoa, Mollusca, Bivalvia, Unionida, Unionidae.